UGGGGAAUUUUGGACAAUGGGGGAAACCCUGAUCCAGCCAUCCCGCGUGUGCGAUGAAGGCCUUCGGGUUGUAAAGCACUUUUGGCAGGAAAGAAACGUCAUGGGUUAAUACCCCGUGAAACUGACGGUACCUGCAGAAUAAGCACCGGCUAACUACGUGCCAGCAGCCGCGGUAAUACGUAGGGUGCAAGCGUUAAUCGGAAUUACUGGGCGUAAAGCGUGCGCAGGCGGUUCGGAAAGAAAGAUGUGAAAUCCCAGAGCUCAACUUUGGAACUGCAUUUUUAUCUACCGGGCUAGAGUGUGUCAGAGGGAGGUGGAAUUCCGCGUGUAGCAGUGAAAUGCGUAGAUAUGCGGAGGAACACCGAUGGCGAAGGCAGCCUCCUGGGAUAACACUGACGCUCAUGCACGAAAGCGUGGGGAGCAAACAGG
This 429-nucleotide ribosomal RNA is filed under the name Acidobacteriota bacterium. Its description in RNAcentral is "Acidobacteria bacterium partial 16S ribosomal RNA". It matches the Rfam family "Bacterial small subunit ribosomal RNA", at positions 355 to 776 of the family's 1533-position model. Lineage: Bacteria; Pseudomonadati; Acidobacteriota. The record is from RNAcentral.